UAGCAAUGGAUCUUUUAUUGCUUUAGACCAGUGUCUCUGAAGUUACAGAGAUGGCUACAACUGGGAGAAUCAGAGAGAUGUAAAUUCAGCUGGUGACCAGAAGGUAGCAAGUUUCAAAACAGAUUAAGAUAUACAGCUUGGUUGUCUUUGUCUGAUCAGCCCAGCUGUUGUUUCUUAGCAACAAUCUCAAGAUACCAGGAUGAGGGUCUGGCUCUUAGAUUUUUAUGAGCCUCUUCCAGUGAUAAGGCAACAAAUGGGGACAGGGCUGGAGCUGCUCAGGACAGGAGCUCUGCAGACCCUGUGUGGGUCUGAGUGGCCUCGUUAGUGUCAAGCCUUGGCAGUGUGGUCCUUGUUCCCG
RNAcentral lists this long non-coding RNA (358 nucleotides) under Bos taurus (domestic cattle). RNAcentral describes it as "long non-coding RNA NONBTAT023098". The record is from RNAcentral. Lineage: Eukaryota; Metazoa; Chordata; Mammalia; Artiodactyla; Bovidae.